RNAcentral lists this unclassified non-coding RNA (1254 nucleotides) under Hevea brasiliensis (rubber tree). The record is from RNAcentral. Lineage: Eukaryota; Viridiplantae; Streptophyta; Magnoliopsida; Malpighiales; Euphorbiaceae.
CUGAAAUGAAUAUGUCUACAUCUAAGAGACUCUCCAUGAAGUAUUGGUCUUCAUUUCAUUUACUAGACACAACUUCUUCCAUGCAUCAAAAUCUCUUCCUCAUACCUAAGCUCGUUCUUCUUACAAGACCAUUUCUGCAAGAAAUGCUAAAUAUAAACCAGCAUGAGUUCGAUAAGAAGCAAUAGAUAGGGUACUAACUUCUGCCUGUGUUCUUUCUACUUUCUCCAAUAUUACCCCCUUUCGCACGAGAACAAAUAAAAGACGGGUUUGUCUUGGCAAGAAGCCAGUUAUAGGAUGUUCUUCAGUAGUUUUUGGAGGUUCUCAAAGUUGUCUGCUGAUAUCUUAUUUAGAUUUAUGCUUCCCAAGUGGAUACUUAAGAUCAGCCAGUUGUGUUUCUGAAUACUUGUCUGGCUCCAAAGUUCUUCAAAGUUGUAUUGCCUCUGUAAACAAGAUAGGAAAUUCAAUAGAAAGGACAACUUGAUCAUUGGUUUCCAUUACCGUUUCAAUGUUUGAGUUUGUUGAAGGAGACGAGAAGGCCUUACCUCAUGUCAAAGUCAUAUGCUGCAAUAGUUGGAGGCACUGCAGGAGUGGUACUUGUUGCAGUAUUCAUCCUGUUGUGGUUAUGCAAAUCUCAUUUUAAGAACUUUUCAAACAAGAACUCAGAGACUGGUUCUUCAGAUCCAUAUCCAACUGCAUUAGGAGAGUGGAAUAGGAGAAGCAGAUCCAGUUCAGCCCCUAGCCACCCUCUAUUUGGAUCACAAGGAGCUAGGCAAUUCACAAUGGAUGAAUUGGAGCAAGCUACCAAGCAAUUUAAUGAAAGUAGUCUCAUUGGAUAUGGAAGUUUUGGGUCGGUAUACAAAGGUUUGCUUCAUGAUACUAUCGUGGCCAUCAAAAGGCGUCCGGGUGCUUCUCGAGAGGAUUUUGUCACAGAGGUACAAGUAACUUUCAAGAGUAGAUAUAUUUACGUGAUAUCUAUCUUCUAUGGUAUGCACAUUACAAUUAUAAUUCCUCUUAGACAACAAUGCACAAAGUGCAUAAAAUUCCUUGUUGAUAUUCUGUUAAACGUAUGAAGACAUCAUUGUAAGCCAAAGAGAAGAUAAUCUGGAGUUGGAGUUAGUUCCUUCUGCUUAGCAUAUCAUACGUGUUUCUAAAAGCUUUAAGCUCCCAUGAUUUGAAUAGAUAUUAACAAUAUCAAGUGGCAAACAGGUACUUUAUUUGUCAGAAAUUCGGCAUCGUAAUUUAGUUUCUCUUCUA